UGGGGAAUAUUGGGCAAUGGAGGCAACUCUGACCCAGCAACGCCGCGUGAAUGAAGAAGGUCUUCGGAUUGUAAAGUUCUGUGAUAUGGGACGAAAAAAAUGACGGUACCAUAAUAGCAAGCUCCGGCAAACUCUGUGCCAGCAGCCGCGGUAAUACAGAGGGAGCAAGCGUUGUCCGGAAUGACUGGGCGUAAAGGGUGCGUAGGUGGCUAUUUAAGUUGCAAGUGAAAUCCCGAGGCUUAACCUCGGUGCUAUUUGCAAAACUGGAUGGCUCUGAGUAGUGGAGAGGUAAGUGGAAUUCCUAGUGUAGCGGUGGAAUGCGUAGAUAUUAGGAGGAACACCAGAGGCGAAGGCGACUUACUGGACACAAACUGACACUGAGGCACGAAAGCGUGGGGAGCAAACA
Molecule: ribosomal RNA, 406 nt
Filed under: uncultured Bacillota bacterium
Lineage: Bacteria; Bacillati; Bacillota
Description: uncultured Firmicutes bacterium partial 16S ribosomal RNA
Rfam family: Bacterial small subunit ribosomal RNA
Source: RNAcentral